Molecule: non-coding RNA, 84 nt
Organism: Xylariaceae sp. AK1471
Lineage: Eukaryota; Fungi; Ascomycota; Sordariomycetes; Xylariales; Xylariaceae
Source: the annotation of a GenBank genome assembly
GGCUCAAUGGUCUAGUGGUAUGAUUCCUGCUUUGGGUUACAACUUGAAUGCAGGAGGCCCCGGGUUCAAAUCCCGGUUGAGCCC